UACAGAGGGGGCGAGCGUUGUUCGGAAUUACUGGGCGUAAAGGGCGCGUAGGCGGCCAACUAAGUCAGACGUGAAAUCCCUCGGCUCAACCGGGGAACUGCGUCUGAUACUGGAUGGCUUGAAUUCGGGAGAGGGAUGCGGAAUUCCAGGUGUAGCGGUGAAAUGCGUAGAUAUCUGGAGGAACACCGGUGGCGAAGGCGGCAUCCUGGACCGAGGUUGACGCUGAUGCGCGAAAGCCAGGGGAGCAAACGGG
Molecule: ribosomal RNA, 253 nt
Filed under: uncultured bacterium
Lineage: Bacteria
Description: partial 16S ribosomal RNA
Rfam family: Bacterial small subunit ribosomal RNA
Source: RNAcentral